GACGAACGCUGGCGGCGUGCUUAACACAUGCAAGUCGAACGGAAAGGCCCUGCUUUUGUGGGGUGCUCGAGUGGCGAUCGGGUGAGUAACACGUGAGUAACCUGCCCUUGACUUUGGGAUAACUUCAGGAAACUGGGGCUAAUACCGGAUAGGAGCUCCUGCUGCAUGGUGGGGGUUGGAAAGUUUCGGCGGUUGGGGAUGGACUCGCGGCUUAUCAGCUUGUUGGUGGGGUAGUGGCUUACCAAGGCUUUGACGGGUAGCCGGCCUGAGAGGGUGACCGGCCACAUUGGGACUGAGAUACGGCCCAGACUCCUACGGGAGGCAGCAGUGGGGAAUAUUGCACAAUGGGCGGAAGCCUGAUGCAGCAACGCCGCGUGCGGGAUGACGGCCUUCGGGUUGUAAACCGCUUUCGCCUGUGACGAGGCGUGAGUGACGGUAAUGGGUAAAGAAGCACCGGCUAACUACGUG
RNAcentral lists this ribosomal RNA (468 nucleotides) under uncultured bacterium. RNAcentral's name for it is "partial 16S ribosomal RNA". It matches the Rfam family "Bacterial small subunit ribosomal RNA", at positions 28 to 507 of the family's 1533-position model. The record is from RNAcentral.